CAUGUAGGGUGGGUCAUUAAGUUAGGUGUGAAAUCCCCGGGCUCAACCCUGGGAACAGCACUUAAAACUGGUGGUCUAGAGUAUUGUAGAGGAAGGUAGAAUUUCCAUGUGUAGCGGUGAAAUGCGUAGAGAUGUGGAGGAAUACCGGUGGCGAAGGCGGCCUUCUGGACAAAUACUGACGCUGAGAUGCGAAAGCGUGGGGAGCAAACAGGAUUAGAUACCCUGGUAGUCCACGCUGUAAACGAUGUCGAUUUGGAGUUUGGUGGCAUGACUGCUGGGCUCCGAAGCUAACGCGUUAAAUCGACCGCCUGGGGAGUACGGCCGCAAGGUUAAAACUCAAAUGAAUUGACGGGGGCCCGCACAAGCGGUGGAGCAUGUGGUUUAAUUCGAUGCAACGCGAAGAACCUUACCUGGUCUUGACAUCCACAGAAUUUUGUAGAGAUACGAAAGUGCCUUAGGGAGCUGUGAGACAGGUGCUGCAUGGCUGUCGUCAGCUCGUGUUGUGAAAUGUUGGGUUAAGUCCCGCAACGAGCGCAACCCUUAUCCUUUGUUGCCAUCGGUUAGGCCGGGAACUCAAAGGAGACUGCCGUUGAUAAAGCGGAGGAAGGUGGGGACGACGUCAAGUCAUCAUGGCCCUUACGACCAGGGCUACACACGUGCUACAAUGGCGCAUACAAAGAGAAGCAAACCAGCGAUGGCAAGCGGACCUCAUAAAGUGCGUCUAAGUUCGGAUUGGAGUCUGCAACUCGACUCCAUGAAGUCGGAAUCGCUAGUAAUCGUGAAUCAGAAUGUCACGGUGAAUACGUUCCCGGGCCUUGUACACACCGCCCG
Molecule: ribosomal RNA, 831 nt
Filed under: uncultured bacterium
Lineage: Bacteria
Description: bacterial SSU rRNA
Rfam family: Bacterial small subunit ribosomal RNA
Source: RNAcentral